This is a long non-coding RNA of Siniperca chuatsi (mandarin fish), 1330 nucleotides long. RefSeq lists it as uncharacterized. The record is from RefSeq and is a predicted model, not a curated record. Lineage: Eukaryota; Metazoa; Chordata; Actinopteri; Centrarchiformes; Sinipercidae. The transcript is spliced from 2 exons.
UGUUAUUGUCGUGUGCAUUGUUGGUUGUGCUUUGUCCCUGUGUCAAGCAUCCCAGUAUUUCUUGUCUGAGUUUUGUUUUAUUGAUUCUUUGUUCCCUUGGACCUUGCCUGGAUUAUGGAUUUUUGAACUUUGCCUGGUCCCUGUCGGAUUUGUUUGCUGUGUUGGAAUUAUUCACUGGUUUUGACCACUGCCUGCCUGAAACCCCCGAUUGCAGCCACCGUGUCCUCGCUUAUAUCUGCAAAACUGAUACAGUAAAAGCGAAGGCUGAUGGAUCAGUUCCAGUAUGUUUAGGUUCUUCAGGGAGGAAGAGAUGUUGGGGGGUUUGCUCUCUGCUUGGGAUCUCAACCAGUUAACCAACCAGCUCCUUGCCAGUCUUAAACCGCCUGUCUCCACACUUUCUGCAGACCAUGCUGAGCCUGAAGCCUCGUCUCUGCUCUCACAGGAGCCCAGCCUGUUAAUCUCCUCUGUUUGCCACCAUUCUGACAUUGUCAACUGUCCCUCGCACCCAGACAUUCAGAUCUGGACUUGUUUUUGCUCAGAACUUUAAAUCAAUUUUUUUUUUUUUUUUUCUCACCUUCCAAAUCUUACUCCAUGUCCUGCUUUUGGGUCUCUAGAUUUGUGAACAGAAGCAACCUCAAAUACCCUCAUGGUCAAUAUUUUUCCAGAGCGUAUAACCAAUGAUUUUUGUGGUCCUGGAGACCCUGGGCCCUCUUUGCCACCUCAAACUUGAUAAUUGUUUUAUCAGCUUUUAAAACUAAAUUAAAUUUUAUGGGAAUUCUAAAACACGAUUUUGUUGACUGUUUCAGAAGUCUGCUACAGAAUGACAUUGUGUUUGGGGUCUAAGACAUUCCAGCUGUAAAACAUGGCUAAAUACAAUGGGGGGGGGGGGGUUAUUUUAUUUUUUUUAAAUGCAGCACUAUCAAGUCCAAAUCCUAAAGUGUAUUUGGAUUCACAUUAUUGGAAUUUUACAAGUUUGUUCACAAGCAACAUAACAUUAGUAACAUCACAAUGUAGGAUAACAUACAGUACAUUUCCUUGUCAGUGAAUGGCUUUAGCAAACAAAAUGAAUGUAUUUAACUAUUACACGCCAGGCAGGGGCAACGUGUUUGUGGUAUUUUAUUUUUAUUUUGUUCCUGCUUCUCUCUCAUCCCCCCUCACCUGUCUUCUCUCCAGGUGCUAACAACCUGAUUAGUUUCCACCUGUGCAGCCCAGUCUUGCUGUUCAUUGGUUUCCUCUGACUUCAGGCUGGCCUAUCAUCAUUUGAGGCACUCAAUAAAAGGAGCAUGCAGAGUUCACUCUUUUGUUCUCUGCUCUUACCCUGUCUGAACUC